GCAGGAACGGCCGGGGCCCGGCGGCCGCCCGCGCGGGGCGGGGCGGCCGGGGGCACCCGGCCGGCGGGCGGUGCUACGCCGCCGUCUCGCC
Molecule: transfer RNA, 91 nt
Filed under: Kitasatospora indigofera
Lineage: Bacteria; Bacillati; Actinomycetota; Actinomycetes; Kitasatosporales; Streptomycetaceae
Description: tRNA-Ala
Source: RNAcentral